AAUAUGUUUUUUAUUUUACAUACUUUCGUCAGAUUUUCAACAAACAUUUAAACUUGCUUGUUUAUCGAUCUUAAUCGGAGGUCACAUUGUGUAGAGGUUAUGUCAUGCCGACUUUCCUUGUUUUUAAUUCUUCGGUGUAAGGUGAAGUCGCACUGAGUACAAUAUUUUUAAUGUUCCGACAGUUGUAUGAAUUGGAAUCUGCGUUUUAUUUGAAGCAUAUCUAAUAUAAAUGUUCACUGUUUUUUCCUACUUCUGGUUAUCGAUUUUUACAGUUUGUCACGUGGCGUAUUGGAAAACGAAAAUCGAAACAUUCUUUAAUAUUUUGAUGGAGAGAAGCGUUAAUAUCAUAGAUUUUUGUGUUUGAAAUUUUUAAUAUUUUGUAAUGCAGCAUGUAAAAUUUCAAAAAACUCUCCGCGAGAUCGCGCUUUUAGCGUAAAGCGGUUACGCUUAAAUGACAAUACAUGUACAUUAACUUCAAAUUGUCAACACUACCGGGCAAAGUAUCACAAUGUUAGCAUGCUUAUCUUUCAUCGAAACUCACAUCAUUUUCCCGAUUGAUACCGAUGGAACUGACGUACAAAAUAAAUACUAUAGUAAGCUUUAAUACAGAAUAAUUGGAAUUUUAAGUUGAAACAGGUAUGUUUUUAUCAUGAAAAUAAGAAAUUGACAAACUCACAAAAAUUAAACAUUGAUUAAUCGCUGUACGAGAUGGGGUUUCAUCAGCGGUAUUGUGGCGCUCUCUACACUUUAGAUCCAAGAAUUUUGGAACCAUAUCGAACGAAACGAAACGAAUGCAGUCUAGGUUAGGUAGUAAUGUGAGGAAUAAAUAACUAAUAACAUUAUGUCCGUAAUAUGAUUGGAUUCGUUCUAAAACAUAUUAAAAUGACGUUUAUAAUCAUGUUUGGUUUUAAUUAGUAUGACCAACCGCUGCGGCAUAAUUUUAGUCGGUAAUGUAGAACAUGAUAUCAACAUGUUAAUAAAAUUCUAUAUAACCUAAUGAGCGUCUGAAAAAUAAUACCAAUUUCAAUACAUGUAUUCAAACUUUUCUAUAACACACUGAAUCAAUUUGAUAUUUUUCAUAUGUAAAACAUUUUUAUAUUUAAAUUAUGAUUUUAAUGCUAUAGCUUACCAUACAAUAAUAUCUAGUUUUUAUUUUCAUAAAUAUGGUUGUACAAUCCGUAUCAAAACAGUGUUAAGAACAAUAGUUGUAUUGUUGUUAGGUAUGUUUUAUAAAGGCGCCUCUUCUAUUAUUGAAAUCUUUUACACAUUUACAUAUUUGUAUAUAUCUAGUCGGACUCUUUUAUUGUUUUGUUCUGGCGUAGGUACACAUUCUUUUUUUCGUUACAUAUUUGUAACACCUGUUGCAUCUGCCAGGUUCAUUCAAACAACAUGCACUUGUCCCGUACAACUAGGAUAAGCUGCAUUAAGACGUUAGGGAUGGUAAAGAAGCCGCCAAUCGAAGUUGAAAUAUUUUUUCGAAAUUAUAGUAUAUUAUACUAUAUUAUAUUAUAUUAUACUAUAUUAUACUAUAUUAUAUUAUAUUAUUUAUUAGAAAAAUGUACGUUCUUCUUAACUAAAUAAAAAUGCGCUAAGGCUGACAUUGAAUUAAGAGCAAA
Molecule: long non-coding RNA, 1616 nt
Organism: Megalopta genalis
Lineage: Eukaryota; Metazoa; Arthropoda; Insecta; Hymenoptera; Halictidae
Source: RefSeq, a predicted model, not a curated record